GAGUUUGAUCCUGGCUCAGAUUGAACGCUGGCGGCAUGCCUUACACAUGCAAGUCGAACGGUAACGCGGGGCAACCUGGCGACGAGUGGCGAACGGGUGAGUAAUGUAUCGGAACGUGCCCAAUAGUGGGGGAUAGCCCGGCGAAAGCCGGAUUAAUACAGCAUGAGACCUGAGGGUGAAAGCGGGGGAUCGCAAGACCUCGCGCUAUUGGAGCGGCCGAUAUCAGAUUAGGUAGUUGGUGGGGUAAAAGCCUACCAAGCCGACGAUCUGUAGCUGGUCUGAGAGGACGACCAGCCACACUGGGACUGAGACACGGCCCAGACUCCUACGGGAGGCAGCAGUGGGGAAUUUUGGACAAUGGGCGCAAGCCUGAUCCAGCCAUGCCGCGUGCGGGAAGAAGGCCUUCGGGUUGUAAACCGCUUUUGUCAGGGAAGAAAUCCUUUGAGUUAAUACCUCGGAGGGAUGACGGUACCUGAAGAAUAAGCACCGGCU
RNAcentral lists this ribosomal RNA (492 nucleotides) under uncultured beta proteobacterium. RNAcentral's name for it is "bacterial SSU rRNA". It matches the Rfam family "Bacterial small subunit ribosomal RNA", at positions 9 to 498 of the family's 1533-position model. The record is from RNAcentral. Lineage: Bacteria; Pseudomonadati; Pseudomonadota; Betaproteobacteria.